AUUGAACGCUGGCGGCAGGCUUAACACAUGCAAGUCGAGCGAGCGGCGGACGGGUGAGUAAUGUCUGGGAAACUGCCUGAUGGAGGGGGAUAACUACUGGAAACGGUAGCUAAUACCGCAUACCAUCAGAUGUGAACAGAUGGGCUUAGCUAGUAGGGGGGGUAAUGGCGACCCUAGGCGAGGAUCCCUAGCUGGUCUGAGAGGAUGACCAGCCACACUGGAACUGAGACACGGUCCAGACUCCUCAGGGAGGCAGCAGGGGGGAAGAUUGCACAAUUGGCGAAAGCCUGAUGCAGCCAUGCCGCGUGGGUGAAGAAGGCCGUCGGGUUGUAAAGAACUUUCAGCGAGGUGGCGUUACUCGCAGAAGAGGAACCGGCUAACUCCGUGCCAGCCGCCGCGGUAAUAC
This 406-nucleotide ribosomal RNA is filed under the name uncultured bacterium. RNAcentral describes it as "partial 16S ribosomal RNA". It matches the Rfam family "Bacterial small subunit ribosomal RNA", at positions 29 to 526 of the family's 1533-position model. The record is from RNAcentral.